RNAcentral lists this ribosomal RNA (457 nucleotides) under uncultured bacterium. RNAcentral describes it as "SSU rRNA". It matches the Rfam family "Bacterial small subunit ribosomal RNA", at positions 26 to 472 of the family's 1533-position model. The record is from RNAcentral.
AGAACGAACGCUGGCGGCGUGGAUAAGACAUGCAAGUCGAACGCGACUUAUUUUGUUAGCAAUAACAGAGUAAGUUGAGUGGCGAAAGGGUGCGUAACACGUGGGAAUUUACCAAGAAGUGGGGAAUAGCUCGACGAAAGUCGAAUUAAUACCGCAUGUGAUCGAAAGAUCAAAGUCGGGGACCGCAAGGCCUGACGCUUUUUGAGAAGCCCGCGGCCCAUCAGCUAGUUGGUGAGGUAAUGGCUCACCAAGGCUAUGACGGGUAGCUGGUCUGAGAGGACGACCAGCCACACUGGAACUGAGACACGGUCCAGACACCUACGGGUGGCAGCAGUCGAGAAUUUUUCACAAUGGACGAAAGUCUGAUGGAGCGACGCCGCGUGAGGAUGAAGGUUCUUGGAUUGUAAACUCCUGUCACUGCAGACAAGGAUACAUCAGUUAACAGCCGAUGUAUUUG